UUACGGCCAUAUAACGUUGAAGCACUAGUUCCCGUACGAUCACCAACGUUAAAUAACUUCAAGCCUGGUUAGUACCGAGAUAGGUGACCACUUAGGAAUGCC
This is a non-coding RNA of Acanthosepion pharaonis, 102 nucleotides long. The record is from the annotation of a GenBank genome assembly. NCBI's taxonomy places the organism in Eukaryota, Metazoa, Mollusca, Cephalopoda, Sepiida, Sepiidae.